RNAcentral lists this transfer RNA (76 nucleotides) under Kutzneria sp. 744. RNAcentral's name for it is "tRNA-Asn". It matches the Rfam family "tRNA". Rfam says of the family: Transfer RNA (tRNA) molecules are approximately 80 nucleotides in length. Their secondary structure includes four short double-helical elements and three loops (D, anti-codon, and T loops). Further hydrogen bonds mediate the characteristic L-shaped molecular structure. tRNAs have two regions of fundamental functional importance: the anti-codon, which is responsible for specific mRNA codon recognition, and the 3' end, to which the tRNAs corresponding amino acid is attached (by aminoacyl-tRNA synthetases). tRNAs cope with the degeneracy of the genetic code in two manners: having more than one tRNA (with a specific anti-codon) for a particular amino acid; and 'wobble' base-pairing, i.e. permitting non-standard base-pairing at the 3rd anti-codon position. RNAcentral also lists the same sequence under 4 other names. Lineage: Bacteria; Bacillati; Actinomycetota; Actinomycetes; Pseudonocardiales; Pseudonocardiaceae. The record is from RNAcentral.
UCCUCCAUAGCUCAAUUGGCAGAGCAUGCGACUGUUAAUCGCAGGGUUGCUGGUUCGAGUCCAGCUGGAGGAGCCA